RNAcentral lists this ribosomal RNA (253 nucleotides) under uncultured bacterium. RNAcentral's name for it is "partial 16S ribosomal RNA". It matches the Rfam family "Bacterial small subunit ribosomal RNA", at positions 524 to 776 of the family's 1533-position model. The record is from RNAcentral.
UACGUAGGUGGCAAGCGUUGUCCGGAUUUAUUGGGUUUAAAGGGUGCGUAGGCGGCCCUGUAAGUCAGUGCUGAAAUAUCCCGGCUUAACCGGGAGGGUGGCAUUGAUACUGCAGGGCUUGAGUACAGAUGAGGUAGGCGGAAUUGACGGUGUAGCGGUGAAAUGCAUAGAUAUCGUCAAGAACUCCGAUAGCGAAGGCAGCUUACUAAGCUGUAACUGACGCUGAGGCACGAAAGUGUGGGGAUCAAACAGG